This 779-nucleotide ribosomal RNA is filed under the name uncultured Neocallimastigales. RNAcentral's name for it is "partial large subunit ribosomal RNA". It matches the Rfam family "Eukaryotic large subunit ribosomal RNA", at positions 23 to 620 of the family's 3401-position model. The record is from RNAcentral. Lineage: Eukaryota; Fungi; Neocallimastigomycota; Neocallimastigomycetes; Neocallimastigales.
AGAGAGAGACAUGCGCGCAUAUCAAUAAGCGGAGGAAAAGAAACUAACAAGGAUUCCCUUAGUAACGGCGAGUGAAGCGGGAAGAGCUCAAAUUUGAAAUCUUCAAGGUUUUACCUUGACGAAUUGUAGUUUAAAGAAGUGUUUUCUGCUGAAGUUUUGGUAAAAGUUCUUUGGAAUAGGACAUCAUAGAGGGUGAGAAUCCCGUAUUUGACCAUUAUUUUCAGCUUUGUGAUACACUUUCAAAGAGUCGGAUUGUUUGGGGAAUGCAGUCCAAAAUGGGUGAUAAAUUUCAUCUAAAGCUAAAUAUUGGCGAGAGACCGAUAGCGAACAAGUACCGAUGAGGGAAAGAUGAAAAGAACUUUGAAAGAGAGAGUUAAACAGUACGUGAAAUUGUCAAAAGGGAAGCGUUUGACACCAGUGUUGUUUUCUCGAAAAUCAAUUAAAAAUGGCUCGAUUUUGUAUUGCUUGAGACCUUAAAAGCUCACUGUACAUUUUUCGUGUCUUUUUUAAUGCACUUUUCGUUUAACAAGUCAACAUCAGUUUCUUUUGUUGUAAAAGGGUCAUUGGAAGGUGGCUUUCUUCUCGGAGAAAGUGUUUAUAGCCUUUGGCCUCUGCAAUCGGAGAGACUGAGGUCUGCAGCGUAGACUCUUCGGGGUUAGAUCACAUUUGUGCUAAGUUAUAGCUUUUUAUAGACAACUUGUUGACUAUAAUUAGUCUUGUAGCUUACUCGCUUAUGCUAUUUUACCUACGCUUAGGAUGUUGAAGAUGUAGCACAUCAU